CACGUUGUUCAUUCCUCUUCCUAAAAUGGCUUCUUCUCCUUUAGUUGUUGCAAUUAUAGGAGAGGAGAAUCCAUUUUAGGAAGGGAAUGAAUACUGUG
Non-coding RNA from Populus trichocarpa (black cottonwood), 98 nucleotides. NCBI's taxonomy places the organism in Eukaryota, Viridiplantae, Streptophyta, Magnoliopsida, Malpighiales, Salicaceae. The record is from Rfam.